CCUACGGGGUGCAGCAGUGGGGAAUAUUGGGCAAUGGGCGCAAGCCUGACCCAGCAACGCCGCGUGAAGGAAGAAGGCUCUCGGGUUGUAAACUUCUUUUAUCAGGGACGAAGCAAGUGACGGUACCUGACGAAUAAGCCACGGCUAACUACGUGCCAGCAGCCGCGGUAAUACGUAGGUGGCAAGCGUUAUCCGGAUUUACUGGGUGUAAAGGGCGUGUAGGCGGGAAAGCAAGUCAGAUGUGAAAACCAUGGGCUCAACCUGUGGCCUGCAUUUGAAACUGGUUUUCUUGAGUACUGGAGAGGCAGGCGGAAUUCCAGGUGUAGCGGUGAAAUGCGUAGAGAUUAGGAGGAACACCAGUGGCGAAGGCGGUCUGCUGGACAGCAACUGACGCUGAGGCGCGAAAGCGUGGGGAGCAAACAGGAUUAGAUACCCCAGUAGUC
RNAcentral lists this ribosomal RNA (443 nucleotides) under uncultured bacterium. Its description in RNAcentral is "partial 16S ribosomal RNA". It matches the Rfam family "Bacterial small subunit ribosomal RNA", at positions 338 to 795 of the family's 1533-position model. The record is from RNAcentral.